UACGAGGGGGCAAGCGUUGUUCGGAAUUAUUGGGCGUAAAGGGCGCGUAGGCGGUAGCGGUAAGUCUGUUGUGAAAUCCUCCGGGACUCAACUCGGAGUCUGCUCAGAAACUGCCGUGCUCGAGUGUGGGAGAGGUGAGUGGAAUUCCCGGUGUAGCGGUGAAAUGCGUAGAUAUCGGGAGACACCUGCGGCGAAAGCGGAG
Molecule: ribosomal RNA, 202 nt
Filed under: uncultured bacterium
Lineage: Bacteria
Description: partial 16S ribosomal RNA
Rfam family: Bacterial small subunit ribosomal RNA
Source: RNAcentral